GUGGGGAAUAUUGGACAAUGGGGGGAACCCUGAUCCAGCCAUGCCGCGUGUGUGAAGAAGGCCUUUUGGUUGUAAAGCACUUUAAGCGAGGAGGAGGCUACCGAGAUUAAUACUCUUGGAUAGUGGACGUUACUCGCAGAAUAAGCACCGGCUAACUCUGUGCCAGCAGCCGCGGUAAUACAGAGGGUGCGAGCGUUAAUCGGAUUUACUGGGCGUAAAGCGCGCGUAGGUGGUUAAUUAAGUCAAAUGUGAAAUCCCCGAGCUUAACUUGGGAAUUGCAUUCGAUACUGGUUAGCUAGAGUAUGGGAGAGGAUGGUAGAAUUCCAGGUGUAGCGGUGAAAUGCGUAGAGAUCUGGAGGAAUACCGAUGGCGAAGGCAGCCAUCUGGCCUAAUACUGACACUGAGGUGCGAAAGCAUGGGGAGCAAACAGGAUUAGAUACCCCGGUAGUCC
This 451-nucleotide ribosomal RNA is filed under the name uncultured bacterium. Its description in RNAcentral is "partial 16S ribosomal RNA". It matches the Rfam family "Bacterial small subunit ribosomal RNA", at positions 354 to 796 of the family's 1533-position model. The record is from RNAcentral.